UGCCAGACUCCUACGGGAGGCAGCAGUGAGGAAUAUUGGUCAAUGGGCGCGAGCCUGAACCAGCCAAGUCGCGUGAGGGAAGACGGUCCUAUGGAUUGUAAACCUCUUUUGUCGGGGAGCAAAAGACGCCACGCGUGGCGUUCCGAGAGUACCCGAAGAAAAAGCAUCGGCUAACUACGUGCCAGCAGCCGCGGUAAUACGUAGGGGGCAAGCGUUAUCCGGAUUUACUGGGUGUAAAGGGAGCGUAGGUGGCAGGGCAAGUCAGAUGUGAAAACCCGGGGCUCAACCCCGGGAGUGCAUUUGAAACUGUCCAGCUGGAGUGCAGGAGAGGUAAGCGGAAUUCCUAGUGUAGCGGUGAAAUGCAUAGAUAUUAGGAGGAACACCAGUGGCGAAGGCGGCUUACUGGACUGUAACUGACACUGAGGCUCGAAAGCGUGGGGAGCAAACAGGAUUAGAUACCCGAGUA
RNAcentral lists this ribosomal RNA (466 nucleotides) under uncultured bacterium. Its description in RNAcentral is "bacterial SSU rRNA". It matches the Rfam family "Bacterial small subunit ribosomal RNA", at positions 329 to 792 of the family's 1533-position model. The record is from RNAcentral.